CAGGAAGUGCAACCAAAAAGCAGGAAGUGGGGAAGACAUACAACAACCCACACAGGAGCCAGUUACGAGCCAAUCACCAGCUAGAGGGGAACUCACAAGAGCUUGUCAACCCAUUGGAAAUCACAAGAGGUUUUGAGCUGACCCGGUAGUGGAGGUUUGGUGAUUUCAAACAGGACUGUCCCCGUCUCCAUAUCACGGAUUUUAAAUCUGGUGAAGUCGAUCAUGUGGACGUUUUCCUCUGGAGAACAAAGAUAGUCUGAAACACAAAGGAAAUAAGACCGCAUUCACAUACACUAGAAUAAUGUAAUGCAGAGUGUUGAUUGUUCCCAAUUAACACAAAAGAUGUAAACAGGACACAUGUCACCCCACACAUAUUGACUGUUUUUCUGAUCCACACAGGAAAAAAAAAUCUAGAAUGAACUUCUUUGACAACCACACUAUGUGUGUAUACAUGUGUGUGAGAUGCUACUUUGUCAACAUGGGAGGAGGAUUAAAUGUAAGAGGCUUAUUGUGUUUUACCAUCACAUGGACUGACCAGUGACACACACACACACACACACACACCUUGGAAAGUCUAUGUUACCAGUCCAAUGUUACGUAAUCCAUUUGACCACAUGAAUAAUUAAACACACAACACUUAAAGACAUACAAAACACAAGUAUAACACACAGGGAAGCAACAGUGUGUGUACACCUGUGUGUACAUACACACAUUGCAUGGUCUACUGUUUGUGGGUGGGUUAGAGAGCAGAUGGCCCACAUAGGAUUUUGCCACCUGCUUGAGGAUAUUUAUAGAGGUUUUAAUAAAGUAAAGCACACUAUUCUGUAGCUAUUUAGAGCCAGCUAUUUAAAGGUAGCUAUUUUGGCUAAUACAUUGAACAUGUGUGUUUGCAUGCCACUGCAUUAGCAGGAAUUGCAAUAUUUUAUGUUUAUAUAAUUUUAGUAUAAUUAGUAUAUAAUUAAUGCAUGUUUAUGAACUCCGCUUAAAAUAUACUGUAUUUCUUCCAAUGGAAUGUUGAUUUUUUCGUUUCUGCUCCUAAACACACAAGGUUUCUAUUAUUCUGGCCUUAAAAAAACUUUGUAAGAGGGUUAACAGAGGUCUCUCUUAAAUACAACACCCUCUUGCAACACUUUUGAAGGGGGGCAUGUGAGCAGCUUACCAGCAAAGAGACUCAGAG
Molecule: non-coding RNA, 1177 nt
Organism: Doryrhamphus excisus (bluestripe pipefish)
Lineage: Eukaryota; Metazoa; Chordata; Actinopteri; Syngnathiformes; Syngnathidae
Source: RefSeq, a predicted model, not a curated record